CAUCUUUGAAUGUAAUUUAGGACCAUUUAUUUUAGUCAAUACUUCCAGCCAAACCCACCAACAACAGAACAAGAAACAGAGAAAUUGGUUUGAAGUUAACGGAAAUCCUUAACUAUGGACAAGAUAAGAAGCAAUUAGUUUUGAAAUCUACGGGUAAAAGCGAUACUGAUGAGGAAACCACUAAAUUUCUAAAAGGGAAUUAUGACAAAUGACAAACGACAUUUUUACCCAAUCUUUGACGAUUCCUUUCAACAAUACUUGAGGAUUCCUCUCUUAUAAUACAACGUAAAAUCGCGUCUUCUUUCCCGUAGAAGGUAGUUUCUAAGCGGUUCAAAGUUUCAGCCUAUACUUCGACCAUGUUGUACGCUUUGGGCAGUGAAGUGAGAUUGUUGACGAUCUUUAACAUAAAUCGUUGUUGUUCCGUAAAAAAUGUUAACAAGAUUUAGAGUGUUC
Molecule: non-coding RNA, 453 nt
Organism: Schizosaccharomyces pombe (fission yeast)
Lineage: Eukaryota; Fungi; Ascomycota; Schizosaccharomycetes; Schizosaccharomycetales; Schizosaccharomycetaceae
Source: the annotation of a GenBank genome assembly